Molecule: long non-coding RNA, 367 nt
Filed under: Olea europaea (common olive)
Lineage: Eukaryota; Viridiplantae; Streptophyta; Magnoliopsida; Lamiales; Oleaceae
Description: long non-coding RNA (OEUR_LNC007408)
Source: RNAcentral
GAAAAUCAUGGGAGGGUUGUACACAUAUGUACAUUCCAGCGUGUAUCAAUAAACACUAUGUUACGAUGGACAUCGUUUUUGCUGACUCGACUAUAUAUGUGUACGAUCCAGAUCAUUCAUGUUUGACACAAGGCCAGUUGGAGCAAAACCUGGAGUCCGUAGCUGUAAUUGUUCCUAUGAUAGCCAGACGAGCGGGGAUAAAUGUACAGGACAGAUUGCGGAUCGUUCGGAACACGACGACAGCGCGACAGUCCGUAAGGUAAGUGUUUGAACUUUGUUGUUUUCAUCUUUCAGAUUUAGUUUUUAUUUACACAGUAUUGAACUGAUUCAUUCUUGUUCAAUUGCAGCGGCGACUGCGGCAUAUUUG